UUACGCUGUUAUCCCUAAGGUAAUUUAUUUUAAAAUUCUAAAUUUUAGGAUUUUUUAUUCAUUAAUUUAUGUUUUUAUAUUAAAAGUUUAAAUAAUUUUAAAAUUACCCCAAUUAAAUAAUAUUUUAUUUUUAAAAAUAUUUUAUUAUAAAAUUCUAUAGGGUCUUAUCGUCUAUUAAUUAAAUUUAAGAAUUUUUACUUAAAAUUUAAUUUUAAAUUUUAAUUAUUUUUAUAUAGUUUAUAUUUCAUUAAAUCAUUCAUUCUAGUUUUUAAUUAAAAAACUAUUUAUUAUGCUACCUUUGUACAGUUAUUGAUACUGCAGCCAUUAAAUUUUUCAUUGGGCAGAUUUGACUUAAAAUUAUUUUCUAUAAGACAUGUUUUUGUUAAACAGGCG
Molecule: ribosomal RNA, 393 nt
Filed under: Ephedrus prociphili
Lineage: Eukaryota; Metazoa; Arthropoda; Insecta; Hymenoptera; Braconidae
Description: partial 16S ribosomal RNA
Source: RNAcentral